UGGUGGAGUGAUUUGUCUGGUUAAUUCCGAUAACGAACGAGACCCCGUCCUACUUACUAGACCGAGGAUCCUCUCGUUCUCGCUGUCUUCUUAGAGGGACAACUGCUUAAUAAGCAGUUGUCCCUUUAUAUAAUAUACCUUGAACUACAUGAAAUGGGGCAAUAACA
Molecule: ribosomal RNA, 167 nt
Filed under: uncultured eukaryote
Lineage: Eukaryota
Description: partial 18S ribosomal RNA
Rfam family: Eukaryotic small subunit ribosomal RNA
Source: RNAcentral